AGUGAACGCUGGCGGUAGGCCUAACACAUGCAAGUCGAACGGCAGCACAGUAAGAUCUUGCUCUUACGGGUGGCGAGUGGCGGACGGGUGAGGAAUACAUCGGAAUCUACUUUUUCGUGGGGGAUAACGUAGGGAAACUUACGCUAAUACCGCAUACGACCUACGGGUGAAAGCAGGGGAUCUUCGGACCUUGCGCGAUUGAAUUAGCCGAUGUCGGAUUAGCUAGUUGGCGGGGUAAAGGCCCACCAAGGCGACGAUCCGUAGCUGGUCUGAGAGGAUGAUCGGCCACACUGGAACUGAGACACGGUCCAGACUCCUACGGGAGGCAGCAGUGGGGAAUAUUGGACAAUGGGCGCAAGCCUGAUCCAGCCAUACCGCGUGGGUGAAGAAGGCCUUCGGGUUGUAAAGCCCUUUUGUUGGGAAAGAAAAGCAGCAGGUUAAUACCCCGCUGUUCUGACGGUACCCAAAGAAUAAGCACCGGCUAACUUCGUG
RNAcentral lists this ribosomal RNA (492 nucleotides) under uncultured bacterium. Its description in RNAcentral is "partial 16S ribosomal RNA". It matches the Rfam family "Bacterial small subunit ribosomal RNA", at positions 29 to 507 of the family's 1533-position model. The record is from RNAcentral.